CACCGCCCGUCACACCAUGGGAGUUUGUUGCACCAGAAGCAGGUAGCUUAACCGCGAAGGGGAGCGCUUGCCACGGUGUGGCCGAUGACUGGGGUG
This 96-nucleotide ribosomal RNA is filed under the name uncultured bacterium. Its description in RNAcentral is "partial 16S ribosomal RNA". It matches the Rfam family "Bacterial small subunit ribosomal RNA", at positions 1388 to 1482 of the family's 1533-position model. The record is from RNAcentral.